UCGCUCUGGCUGAAACCAGGCUGUGACUUUAUUGGUUGGUUAAAAAUAGCGGCUACUCAACCAAGCGACGGUAACUAUAGCAACAUUGUCUUGAAAGACCGUGGAGUAUAGACCAUGACAUGUUGAGGGACAUAUUUCACGACUAGUAUUCCUUUGCCCGAGUUAUCGACUCCCUUUUAUCAACUUCACUUAACAUAUGUUUUGUUCCAUUAAAAACGUUUAUAUAUGCAUUAUGUGUACUUUCUAUGAUGUUGAUCUCAUCUUUUUGUGGCACUUAUAUUUUCAGUUGAUGUGCAUGUUCCUCAAGAUUUCCCAUUGGCUGUAGUUGCGGGUGUUGUGGUCUCUGUCGUAGCAGUCGUAGCAGUGGUUGUUGCUGCGUACUUCUACGGGAAAUGGAAGCAUCAGAAGGCGAAGGUCAGCGCAUCUAACACCAAUGUCCAGGAAACCUCAACAGCAGGAAAACACACAGCAAAUAUCAGGUUCAAACCCGGUCCUCCAUGUUCAGCUGGAGAGGCAUGGACCCAUAACACCAACCUAACUGACUUUAGUAAGGGCGGUUCAGUUUGGUGUGCCACACCGAUUCCUCCCCAAGCUACAGAACCUCCACCUCCAUACAGUCGGUUAUCUGUCCCUGGGACUACUGACGCCUUCAAUACGUCCACGGGUCAUUGCGGAGCUGAUGGUGACAUGACAAGCUACGGACAGGGCAGUACGGAUGUUGGAACACGUGGUGGGCUAGGAAAAGAGUUCGGGACAGACACAGAAAGGUCAGAUCGAGAUACGGUGUCAAGGUCAUCUGGAGGACAAUCCCCACGAGGAAGUUCUACAGGAUUCUGGAAAUGGAAGACGUACCUGUGAACUGAGUUUUCACUUCGCUGACAUGAACGUUGAUAGAAGGAAUUCCAUAUCCAUGUUUAACAUGGACCCAAUAUAAAAUGCUAAUUUUGUCCGGACAGAAAACUGUUCAGAGAACUGGACUGGAAAUAAUCCAUCUGUAACUUUUGUUUAGUCAGAGUGAAAACAAACUGUACAUAACCCAAACAUUAGAAAUUA
Long non-coding RNA from Haliotis rubra (blacklip abalone), 1053 nucleotides. RefSeq lists it as uncharacterized. The record is from RefSeq and is a predicted model, not a curated record. NCBI's taxonomy places the organism in Eukaryota, Metazoa, Mollusca, Gastropoda, Lepetellida, Haliotidae. The transcript has 3 exons.